Molecule: small RNA, 1156 nt
Filed under: Malus domestica (apple)
Lineage: Eukaryota; Viridiplantae; Streptophyta; Magnoliopsida; Rosales; Rosaceae
Description: sRNA MD15G0135600
Source: RNAcentral
CAAAACCUCUAUCAUCAAGUCAAAUGUCUUGAUUUUAAACACCAGGAAGGAGAAUUGGGAGAAAACUCCUGGAAGGAGAAUUGGGAGAGCAGAAGGGGCGGGGCCUGGGACUGGCCUGGUUUAAUUUCCCAUUCCUUUGCGGGAAGAGAAGGGGCGUUGAUAAGAAAUUAAGGCUUUGAACGUUGACGAUCAAAAUUAAGUGGUGAAAUAAAAGCCAGCGAGCGCGCAGAUAGCAGCUGACAGAGAGAGAGGUGAGCACGCACCGCCCAAAGGUAUGAUUUUAUACAAUUGCUGCCUGUGUGGUUUUGAAUUCGGAAUGCUGCCCGAAUGCCCUAUCUACAGGAUAAUUCACUAUAUACACAAGCGGAGUCUUUCAAUUCAUCAGACUUGAGGAAGGAGGGGGGCUGAUUUCAGAUCCCCAUUAUUAAUGGUGAAACCCGUGAAAGCCAGGUUGGUGUAUAUAAGGACUCUCAUCAUCCAUCCACAUCUGAAUCGUGUCCGUGCAUUCGACGUCUAAUUACCAAUAGUAAUUCACUAAUACCACUAGUAAUUACGUGUUCAAUUGUAGUAGUACUAGUGCUUUGGGAAGAAAAAUGUUGGGAGACUCAAAAGUUGGCUGUCCAUAAGUUCCUUCAUCCCAUGUUUUUGUCACAUUAACUCUGCAAAUUUAUGUUUUUGCCACAAUUUUGUGCUAAUUUUUUAUAAUAUUGUGUCAAAAAUAACAAUAAUAUUGUGUAAAAAAUAUAAGAUGACGAAGGGUUGAAUUUUUAGAAAAUCUCCUAAACAUUUAUUCUUUGAAAACUGUAAAGUUGCACCGCUGGCUUAGCACUAGUUGUGGAAUGUUGUACUCAGAGGGUUUGUAAUUGCGUUGGCCUCAAAAGUCCCAUUGGCCACUUCUCUAUUGCGGUUGCUCCUGUUUCAGCCGUCGGAUCUACGUAUAAUAUGAUUCAAUCUUUAUCUCAGCCUUUAAAUUUAACUUAGGGUUUUAUAUGUAUUGGAGCGUUGGUAUGGUGUUUGGUGGGGAAGGGUCGGGAAAGGACAACCCGCAAAAUGGAAGGGAGACAAAGAUAAAGACGUCCAUUGAAAAUCACCCACCCUUAUACGUUUUCAUCAUAUAUCCCGCGACUCUGCAUAUGCCUAAACAUGUGUACGCUGC